Molecule: long non-coding RNA, 630 nt
Organism: Frieseomelitta varia
Lineage: Eukaryota; Metazoa; Arthropoda; Insecta; Hymenoptera; Apidae
Exons: 3
Source: RefSeq, a predicted model, not a curated record
UACAUUGUUUAAACAAUAGAGGAAGAAAAUAUUUAUUCACAGAAUAGAAAUAGAUAGAUUGCUGAUGUUUAUCAUAGGUCACCAUUGAUCCACGUGAAUACAUGUUAAACACGAUUUAGUAUCUUUGUUACAUGUGUGAUCCUUGGGUCGGGUAUGGAAAUAAUAGAAGAAAAUUGGCAUUAUUUGAUGGAAAUGUGAAUGGAAAUGAUGUCUGGACGAUGUAAAACUUGAAGAGCAUGUUGAAAAGAGUUCUGAAUGAUGCGACUAUUUAAUGAAAUCGGUUGCUUGCUCAUUCGGCAAAUGGAUUCUCCGUAGAAAAUGGCAUUUGUACAUCUACUAUCCGUGCCAUUCAGAUAUUACAAUGAACCGUAUCUUUGAGCUGGACUUUGCUGUAGAAACUUCAUCAGCAAUGCCAAGGACCUUUUGCCUCUCUGUCUAUGAAACGAUAGUUCUUGUUCACACAGAGUAUGUGAGUCGAGUCACGUCAAGUUCAUCUAUGUUUAGAUCACAAUAACUCUGUUAAAUGCAACAAGAAAUCAACAUCAACAUCUUAUGUUUACUCAUUAAGAAUUUUAUAAUUUCAGAAUCAAUAAUUUUUUAAUAGAAAACAGAAUUUAAUGGUGCAAUUAG